UUUCUGAGUAACGGAUUAUUCAUUGUGUUUCUGAAGCGGGAGGUGAAAAUAGCGAUCUUUAAAAAUCAUGUAGUGCUUUUGAGCUUGUCUUGCUGUGUUUGGAUGGUUAGUAAUUCGUUUUCUCCUCCCCUUCAUCACCAGCCGAACAAUAAUGAGCUAUUGAAGAUCGUAGAAUGCCAGACUCUAUAUUGGAGUUCCUCCUACAGAACUGCUAGUGUCUGCAUCUUUAAAACCCUCUUGUUACCCAGGAGCAGCAGCUCUGACUUCUCAACACUGGCUGUGCAUUCGGUCCAAGCAGUGAGUGUAUGUGAUACAUGAAUAAAUAUUUGUGUCCA
Molecule: long non-coding RNA, 335 nt
Organism: Mesocricetus auratus (golden hamster)
Lineage: Eukaryota; Metazoa; Chordata; Mammalia; Rodentia; Cricetidae
Exons: 2
Source: RefSeq, a predicted model, not a curated record